Molecule: ribosomal RNA, 1513 nt
Filed under: Limosilactobacillus fermentum
Lineage: Bacteria; Bacillati; Bacillota; Bacilli; Lactobacillales; Lactobacillaceae
Description: bacterial SSU rRNA
Rfam family: Bacterial small subunit ribosomal RNA
Source: RNAcentral
CUGGCUCAGGAUGAACGCCGGCGGUGUGCCUAAUACAUGCAAGUCGAACGCGUUGGCCCAAUUGAUUGACGGUGCUUGCACCUGAUUGAUUUUGGUCGCCAACGAGUGGCGGACGGGUGAGUAACACGUAGGUAACCUGCCCAGAAGCGGGGGACAACAUUUGGAAACAGAUGCUAAUACCGCAUAACAGCGUUGUUCGCAUGAACAACGCUUAAAAGAUGGCUUCUCGCUAUCACUUCUGGAUGGACCUGCGGUGCAUUAGCUUGUUGGUGGGGUAACGGCCUACCAAGGCGAUGAUGCAUAGCCGAGUUGAGAGACUGAUCGGCCACAAUGGGACUGAGACACGGCCCAUACUCCUACGGGAGGCAGCAGUAGGGAAUCUUCCACAAUGGGCGCAAGCCUGAUGGAGCAACACCGCGUGAGUGAAGAAGGGUUUCGGCUCGUAAAGCUCUGUUGUUAAAGAAGAACACGUAUGAGAGUAACUGUUCAUACGUUGACGGUAUUUAACCAGAAAGUCACGGCUAACUACGUGCCAGCAGCCGCGGUAAUACGUAGGUGGCAAGCGUUAUCCGGAUUUAUUGGGCGUAAAGAGAGUGCAGGCGGUUUUCUAAGUCUGAUGUGAAAGCCUUCGGCUUAACCGGAGAAGUGCAUCGGAAACUGGAUAACUUGAGUGCAGAAGAGGGUAGUGGAACUCCAUGUGUAGCGGUGGAAUGCGUAGAUAUAUGGAAGAACACCAGUGGCGAAGGCGGCUACCUGGUCUGCAACUGACGCUGAGACUCGAAAGCAUGGGUAGCGAACAGGAUUAGAUACCCUGGUAGUCCAUGCCGUAAACGAUGAGUGCUAGGUGUUGGAGGGUUUCCGCCCUUCAGUGCCGGAGCUAACGCAUUAAGCACUCCGCCUGGGGAGUACGACCGCAAGGUUGAAACUCAAAGGAAUUGACGGGGGCCCGCACAAGCGGUGGAGCAUGUGGUUUAAUUCGAAGCUACGCGAAGAACCUUACCAGGUCUUGACAUCUUGCGCCAACCCUAGAGAUAGGGCGUUUCCUUCGGGAACGCAAUGACAGGUGGUGCAUGGUCGUCGUCAGCUCGUGUCGUGAGAUGUUGGGUUAAGUCCCGCAACGAGCGCAACCCUUGUUACUAGUUGCCAGCAUUAAGUUGGGCACUCUAGUGAGACUGCCGGUGACAAACCGGAGGAAGGUGGGGACGACGUCAGAUCAUCAUGCCCCUUAUGACCUGGGCUACACACGUGCUACAAUGGACGGUACAACGAGUCGCGAACUCGCGAGGGCAAGCAAAUCUCUUAAAACCGUUCUCAGUUCGGACUGCAGGCUGCAACUCGCCUGCACGAAGUCGGAAUCGCUAGUAAUCGCGGAUCAGCAUGCCGCGGUGAAUACGUUCCCGGGCCUUGUACACACCGCCCGUCACACCAUGAGAGUUUGUAACACCCAAAGUCGGUGGGGUAACCUUUUAGGAGCCAGCCGCCUAAGGUGGGACAGAUGAUUAGGGUGAAGUCG